RNAcentral lists this ribosomal RNA (830 nucleotides) under uncultured archaeon. RNAcentral describes it as "bacterial SSU rRNA". It matches the Rfam family "Archaeal small subunit ribosomal RNA", at positions 39 to 878 of the family's 1478-position model. The record is from RNAcentral.
UUCGACUAAGCCAUGCGAGUCGAGAGGGUUCGGCCCUCGGCGUACUGCUCAGUAACACGUGGAUAACCUGCCCUAGGGAAGGGGAUAACCCCGGGAAACUGGGGAUAAUACCCUAUAGAUUACAGAUGCUGGAAUGCCCUGUAAUCCAAAGUUCCGACGCCCUAGGAUGGAUCUGCGGCCGAUUAGGUUGUUGUUGGGGUAAUGGCCCAACAAGCCCGUAAUCGGUACGGGUUGUGGGAGCAAGAGCCCGGAGUUGGAUUCUGAGACACGAAUCCAGGCCCUACGGGGCGCAGCAGGCGCGAAAACUUUACAAUGCGGGCAACCGUGAUAAGGGAACCUCGAGUGCCUGUAAAUGCAGGCUGUUCAGGUGCCUAAAACACACCUGAAGAAAGGGCCGGGCAAGACCGGUGCCAGCCGCCGCGGUAAUACCGGCGGCUCGAGUGGUGGCCGCUUUUAUUGGGCUUAAAGCGUUCGUAGCUGGGUUGUUAAGUCUCUUGGGAAAUCUGGCGGCUUAACCGUCAGGCGUCUAAGGGAUACUGGCAAUCUUGGAACCGGGAGAGGUGAGGGGUACUUCGGGGGGUAGGGAGUGAAAUCCUGUAAUCCUCGAGGGACCACCUGGGGGCGAAGGCGCCUCCCCAGAACGGCUUCGACAGUGAGGGACGAAAGCUGGGGGAGCAAACCGGAUUAGAUACCCGGGUAGUCCCAGCCGUAAACUAUGCGCGUUAGGGGUAUCGGUGACCACGAGUUACCGAGGUGCCGAAGGGAACCGUGAAACGUGCCGCCUGGGAAGUACGGUCGCAGGCUGAACUUAAGGAAUUGGCGGGGGAGCA